AUAAGGCCCAAAAUACUUAGGAGAUACUUUCUAUACCAAUCUAGAAAUUGCAGAUUUUUGUUUGUAAGGUUGUAGCUUAAUGUACACCCAAUCACCAAUUGCAAAUUACCUUUAGACCUAUGUCUAUCUACUUGUUGCUUUAUCCUAUUCUAAGACUUCAAUAAUUGUUGCUUUAACACCUUAAUCAUAUCUUCUCUAUC
RNAcentral lists this long non-coding RNA (200 nucleotides) under Elaeis guineensis (African oil palm). Its description in RNAcentral is "long non-coding RNA (EGUI_LNC004224)". Lineage: Eukaryota; Viridiplantae; Streptophyta; Magnoliopsida; Arecales; Arecaceae. The record is from RNAcentral.